GACGAACGCUGGCGGCGUGCUUAAUACAUGCAAGUCGAACGGAAAGGCCCUGCUUUUGUGGGGUGCUCGAUUGGCGAACGGGUGAGUAUCACGUGAGUAACCUGCCCUUGACUUUGGGAUAACUUCAGGAAACUGCGGCUAAUACCCGAUAGGAGCUCCUGCUGCAUGGUGGGGGUUGGUAAGUUUCGGCGGUUGGGGAUGGACUCGCGGCUUAUGAGCUUGUUGGUCGGGUAGUGGCUUACCAAGGCUGUGACGGGUAGCCGGCCUGAGAGGGUGACCGGCCACAUUGGGACUGAGAGACGGCGCAGACUCCUACGGGAGGCAGCAGUGGAGAAUAUGGCACAGUGGGCGGAAGCCUGAGGCAGCAACGCCGCGUGCGGGAUGACGGCCUUCGAGUUGUAAACCGCUGUCGCCUGUGACGAAGCGUGAGUGACGGUAAUGGGUAAAGAAGCACCGGCUAACUACGUG
Molecule: ribosomal RNA, 468 nt
Filed under: uncultured bacterium
Lineage: Bacteria
Description: partial 16S ribosomal RNA
Rfam family: Bacterial small subunit ribosomal RNA
Source: RNAcentral